Molecule: ribosomal RNA, 135 nt
Filed under: Pteropus vampyrus (large flying fox)
Lineage: Eukaryota; Metazoa; Chordata; Mammalia; Chiroptera; Pteropodidae
Source: RNAcentral
GUCUAUGGUCAUGCCGCCUGAACAAGCCCGAUCUGUCUGAUCUCGGAAGCUAAGCAAGGUCAGGCUGCUAAACAGGGUCAGGCCUGGUUAGUACUUGGAUUGGAGACCAUGUAGGAAGACCAGGUGCUGUAGGCA